RNAcentral lists this ribosomal RNA (1359 nucleotides) under uncultured bacterium. RNAcentral's name for it is "bacterial SSU rRNA". It matches the Rfam family "Bacterial small subunit ribosomal RNA", at positions 28 to 1381 of the family's 1533-position model. The record is from RNAcentral.
GAUGAACGCUAGCUACAGGCUUAACACAUGCAAGUCGAGGGGCAGCAUGGUCUUAGCUUGCUAAGGCCGAUGGCGACCGGCGCACGGGUGAGUAACACGUAUCCAACCUGCCGUCUACUCUUGGACAGCCUUCUGAAAGGAAGAAUUAAUACAAGAUGGCAUCAUGAGUCCACAUGUUCACAUGAUUAAAGGUAUUCCGGUAGACGAUGGGGAUGCGUUCCAUUAGAUAGUAGGCGGGGUAAUGGCCCACCUAGUCUUCGAUGGAUAGGGGUUCUGAGAGGAAGGUCCCCCACAUUGGAACUGAGACACGGUCCAAACUCCUACGGGAGGCAGCAGUGAGGAAUAUUGGUCAAUGGGCGAGAGCCUGAACCAGCCAAGUAGCGUGAAGGAUGACUGCCCUAUGGGUUGUAAACUUCUUUUAUAAAGGAAUAAAGUCGGGUAUGCAUACCCGUUUGCAUGUACUUUAUGAAUAAGGAUCGGCUAACUCCGUGCCAGCAGCCGCGGUAAUACGGAGGAUCCGAGCGUUAUCCGGAUUUAUUGGGUUUAAAGGGAGCGUAGAUGGAUGUUUAAGUCAGUUGUGAAAGUUUGCGGCUCAACCGUAAAAUUGCAGUUGAUACUGGAUAUCUUGAGUGCAGUUGAGGCAGGCGGAAUUCGUGGUGUAGCGGUGAAAUGCUUAGAAAUCACGAAGAACUCCGAUUGCGAAGGCAGCCUGCUAAGCUGCAACUGACAUUGAGGCUCGAAAGUGUGGGUAUCAAACAGGAUUAGAUACCCUGGUAGUCCACACGGUAAACGAUGAAUACUCGCUGUUUGCGAUAUACAGCAAGCGGCCAAGCGAAAGCGUUAAGUAUUCCACCUGGGGAGUACGCCGGCAACGGUGAAACUCAAAGGAAUUGACGGGGGCCCGCACAAGCGGAGGAACAUGUGGUUUAAUUCGAUGAUACGCGAGGAACCUUACCCGGGCUUAAAUUGCAGAUGAAUUACGGUGAAAGCCGUAAGCCGCAAGGCAUCUGUGAAGGUGCUGCAUGGUUGUCGUCAGCUCGUGCCGUGAGGUGUCGGCUUAAGUGCCAUAACGAGCGCAACCCUUGUUGUCAGUUACUAACAGGUUCCGCUGAGGACUCUGACAAGACUGCCAUCGUAAGAUGUGAGGAAGGUGGGGAUGACGUCAAAUCAGCACGGCCCUUACGUCCGGGGCUACACACGUGUUACAAUGGGGGGUACAGAGGGCCGCUACCACGCGAGUGGAUGCCAAUCCCAAAAACCUCUCUCAGUUCGGACUGGAGUCUGCAACCCGACUCCACGAAGCUGGAUUCGCUAGUAAUCGCGCAUCAGCCACGGCGCGGUGAAUACGUUCCCGGGCCU